Molecule: long non-coding RNA, 881 nt
Organism: Lactuca sativa (garden lettuce)
Lineage: Eukaryota; Viridiplantae; Streptophyta; Magnoliopsida; Asterales; Asteraceae
Source: RefSeq, a predicted model, not a curated record
AUAAAAACCUUCAAAUUUAUACUAUCAACAAAAACAAUGUAGAUGAAAAGUAAAACAAGAACUCACCUGAACAAAAGCGUCCACUGUCGAUUCUCCUCCUCCUCCUCCUCUACAAACACAUUCAACUACCUCCAAGUCAUUUACUCUUUCACAUAUUGGAUCCUUUUCUGUCCAACUUAUUUUAGAGUAAUAACCGACAUAUUCUAGUCGAUUUUGAGUUUGGUCAGCUUGUCAAGGCAGCCAGAGGUCAAUGAAAGCUCUUGGAGCUGACUUUUUUUAGAACCAUGAAGCCUAAUUGAGAAUGAGUGAGAACGAAGGUGGUGGCGGUGACUAGAAGAAACCAGAUCUGCCAGCUGGGGAAACGAUGAUGACUCCGUGAUUUCUGAUCAGGAAAGCGAAUCCGAUGGAGAUCUGCUUCAGAUCCAGUGGAAAAAAAUCUUGUGGUUGGUGAAACGAGAUCGGGAAAUGAGAUGUUGUGGCCAGUGAAAUGAUAUAUUCUAGUCGGUAUAAUUAGAUCUGUUGACAGUUAACGAGGAUAAGAAGUAGAGGGGUAUAGUUUCUGAUGGUAGGAGGCGUAAAGAGGUGAUGGGCAAGCAGAUCCAAAGAGAAUGAAAAGGUAGCCGUCCGGUGGUUCCGGUGAUCUUACGGUGGUUACAGAGGUUCUGACGGUAGUUCCAGAAACGUUACGGUGGACCCGGUGAUAGUUCCUAUAGAAUUAUGGUGGUUCCGACGGUUUUGGUGGUGGAGUUCCAAGUGAGAUGUAAUAUUAUGUGGGUUAGGUAUGAUGGAGUGGGUUACUCUUUUUUUUAUUAUCUAAAUAAUAAAUUCAUAAAUAAUAAAUAAAGUAUUAUAUGAAUAAAUGAUAAAUUUCUUUUUUCAAA